GUACCUUCAAGCUUUGCUUGGUGUUGGGCGUCUUUUUGUCUCUCCUUUGCGGGAGACUCGCCUUAAAACGAUUGGCAGCCGGCCUACUGGUUUCGGAGCGCAGCACAUUUUUUUGCGCUUUGUAUCAGGAGAAAAGGACGGUACUCCAUCAAGACGUUUACAUUUUUCACUU
RNAcentral lists this unclassified non-coding RNA (172 nucleotides) under Bipolaris heveae. RNAcentral's name for it is "Internal transcribed spacer 2". The record is from RNAcentral. Lineage: Eukaryota; Fungi; Ascomycota; Dothideomycetes; Pleosporales; Pleosporaceae.